AUUGAACGCUGGCGGCAUGCCUUACACAUGCAAGUCGAACGGUAACAGGUCUUCGGAUGCUGACGAGUGGCGAACGGGUGAGUACUACAUCGGAACGUGCCUAGUAGUGGGGGAUAACUACUCGAAAGAGUGGCUAAUACCGCAUGAGAUCUACGGAUGAAAGCAGGGGAUCGCAAGACCUUGUGCUACUAGAGCGGCCGAUGGCAGAUUAGGUAGUUGGUGGGAUAAAAGCUUACCAAGCCGACGAUCUGUAGCUGGUCUGAGAGGACGAUGAGCCACACUGGGACGGAGAAACGGCCCAGACUCCUACGGGAGGCAGCAGUGGGGAAUUUUGGACAAUGGGCGCAAGCCUGAUCCAGCAAUGCCGCGUGCAGGAUGAAGGCCUUCGGGUUGUAAACUGCUUUUGUACGGAACGAAAAGCCCCGGGUUAAUACCCUGGGGUCAUGACGGUACCGUAAGAAUAAGCACCGGCUAACUACGUGCCAGCCGCCGCCGCGG
This 498-nucleotide ribosomal RNA is filed under the name uncultured bacterium. Its description in RNAcentral is "partial 16S ribosomal RNA". It matches the Rfam family "Bacterial small subunit ribosomal RNA", at positions 30 to 523 of the family's 1533-position model. The record is from RNAcentral.